GAUGAACGUUGGCGGCGUGCCUAACACAUGCAAGUCGAACGGGAAGCUCAAUUUCGAUUGAGUGGAGAGUGGCGCACGGGUGAGUAACACGUAACUGAUCUGCCCUAGAGAGUGGGAUAACAAUUGGAAACAAUUGCUAAAACCGCAUAAGCUCACAUUUUUUAGAAAGAUGUGAGAAAAACUCCGGUGCUCUAGGAUGAGGUUGCGCCCCAUCAGCUGGUUGGUAAGGUAACGGCUUACCAAGGCGACGACGGGUAGGGGACCUGAGAGGGUGGCCCCCCACACUGGAACUGAGACACGGUCCAG
This 306-nucleotide ribosomal RNA is filed under the name uncultured bacterium. Its description in RNAcentral is "bacterial SSU rRNA". It matches the Rfam family "Bacterial small subunit ribosomal RNA", at positions 28 to 334 of the family's 1533-position model. The record is from RNAcentral.